UGUCGUUGUCGUUGCUGUUACUACUAUUAUUGCUGUUGGUGUUGUUCUUGCUAAUGUCAUUAUUGCUGUUGUUGGUGUUGUCACGAGUCAUGCUGGUGUUUGUGGUCUUGUUUUGGCCGUUGACUUUGUUGUUGAUGUUGUUGUGGAGGCGCAAUGACCCAGUGGUUAGGG
Octopus sinensis (East Asian common octopus) is the source of this 171-nucleotide long non-coding RNA. RefSeq lists it as uncharacterized. The record is from RefSeq and is a predicted model, not a curated record. NCBI's taxonomy places the organism in Eukaryota, Metazoa, Mollusca, Cephalopoda, Octopoda, Octopodidae. The transcript has 3 exons.